ACGAACGCUGGCGGCGUGCUUAACACAUGCAAGUCGAACGAGAGGAGAAGGAAGCUUGCUUCUUCAAAUCUAGUGGCAAACGGGUGAGUAACACGUAAACAACCUGCCUUCAGGAUGGGGACAACAGACGGAAACGACUGCUAAUACCGAAUACGUUCCUUAGGUCGCAUGACUUUAGGAAGAAAGGGUGGCCUCUACUUGUAAGCUAUCGCCUGAAGAGGGGUUUGCGUCUGAUUAGGUAGUUGGUGAGGUAACGGCCCACCAAGCCGACGAUCAGUAGCCGGUCUGAGAGGAUGAACGGCCACACUGGAACUGAGACACGGUCCAGACUCCUACGGGAGGCAGCAGUGGGGAAUCUUCCGCAAUGGGCGAAAGCCUGACGGAGCAACGCCGCGUGAGUGAUGACGGCCUUCGGGUUGUAAAACUCUGUGAUCGGGGACGAACGGUCAGCAGACGAAUACUCUGCUGAAGUGACGGUACCCGAAUAGCAAGCCACGGCUAACUACGUG
Molecule: ribosomal RNA, 509 nt
Filed under: uncultured bacterium
Lineage: Bacteria
Description: bacterial SSU rRNA
Rfam family: Bacterial small subunit ribosomal RNA
Source: RNAcentral